This 1526-nucleotide long non-coding RNA is filed under the name Podarcis lilfordi (Lilford's wall lizard). Lineage: Eukaryota; Metazoa; Chordata; Lepidosauria; Squamata; Lacertidae. The record is from RNAcentral.
AUACGGAGAGUUAUGCGCCCACGUGUAGGAGUGAGUCUCUACGCUUGGUCUUGGCCAUCGCUGCACAAAGAGGUUUGCUGGUGCAUCACUUUGAUGUGGAUGUUGCUUACUUGAACUCAGACCUCCAGGAGGAUCUGUACAUGCUUCCUCCUCCUGGGUUUGAGGGCAAUGAGCGAGGUACUGUGUGGAAACUUCACAAGUCAAUUUACGGCCUGAAGCAGUCGGCCAGGAAUUGGAACUUGUGCCUGAAUGAAGCUUUGGAGAAGCUAGGUUUCAGGAAGAGUCUUGCUGACAGUUGCCUGUUCCUUAGAGGAUCAGGAGACUCACAGGAACUGGUGUUGUUUUACGUUGAUGACAUCAUCCAUGUUGGAAAGGCAGACAAACAGGUGCAGAAGUUUGCCAAAGAGCUUGGGAAACGGUUUCAGCUCAAGGACCUGGGUGCAGUAAAGAUCUACCUAGGCGUCCAGAUAGCGAGAACUGAGGAUGGUAGCUUCUUGCUCAGUCAGAAAGGCAAGAUUGAGCAGUUGCUGGAGAAGUUCAGAAUGUCCGAUUGUGCAGGAGUUCGGACACCCAUGGAGACGAACUUCGUGAAAAGAUAGCCAGCAAGCAGAAAGUGCUGAGUUUGAGAAUGCUGAGCUCUUUCAGUCAGCUCUAGGUAGUCUGUUGUAUCUGUCCCAAUGGAGCAGACCAGACAUUGCCUUUGCUACCAACCUGCUAAGUAGGGAAGCGUCAAAGCCCAGUGUGAGUGCUUGGCACGGUAUCAAGCGGGUACUGCGCUACCUGCAGCAUACCAAAGACUUCUGUCUUAAGCUGCCAGCUGAAGGUGAGGCGAAGCUCACAUGCUAUGCGGACAGUGACUGGGCGAACUCGCAGGACCGCAAGUCUGUGUCUGGGUUGGUGAUAAAGUUUGGGAAGUCACUGGUUGGGUGGAAGUCCCGGAAGCAAAGUCUCAUUGCGCUGUCUUCUACUGAGGCUGAAUUCAGUGCACUGUCAGACUUGUGCCGAGAACUAGAGUUCUAUAGAUGCUUGGUGCAAGAGAUCUAUGGGGAUUGUAGCUUGCCCAUCACGGUUUGGGAAGACAAUCAGCCUUGUUUGAAGUUGGCUGAAUCUGCGCAAUUUAAAGCGAGAACCAAGCAUCUGGACAUACGUUUCCAAAAUGUGUGUCAGAGUGUUCAGUCAGGUUUGAUACGACUGAAGUACUGUGCCAGUCACAGUAACCUGGCCGAUGGAUUUACCAAACCUUUAAGCUUCCAGCGUCAUGGGGAGUUUUGUGGUGGUUUGGAGUUGGGGGUAAGUUCUGUACUUACCGUCCCCACAGUAGCGCAGGGCGAGAGGGGGUGUGAGGAGAACCUGAGCUUACAGGGUUAAACAGCUCAGACUGUACGCCCUGCCUACAGUUGGGAGGGGGGAGCUACGUCAGUUCCGAGAGACUAAAGUCUUUGUUCUGUCUCUCUACUUUCGCUUUUGAGGAGAGAGGACGUGUUUUCGCGAUGCUGUUCGCUGUGAUAGAUAAUGGAUAGCCUGCU